This 76-nucleotide transfer RNA is filed under the name Actinomycetota bacterium. RNAcentral's name for it is "tRNA-Thr". It matches the Rfam family "tRNA". Rfam says of the family: Transfer RNA (tRNA) molecules are approximately 80 nucleotides in length. Their secondary structure includes four short double-helical elements and three loops (D, anti-codon, and T loops). Lineage: Bacteria; Bacillati; Actinomycetota. The record is from RNAcentral.
GCCCGAGAAGCUCACCCGGCCGAGCACCCGUUUCGUAAUCGGGAGGUCGUCGGUUCGACUCCGACCUCGGGCUCCA